This is a long non-coding RNA of Passer domesticus (house sparrow), 1543 nucleotides long. RefSeq lists it as uncharacterized. The transcript has 3 exons. Lineage: Eukaryota; Metazoa; Chordata; Aves; Passeriformes; Passeridae. The record is from RefSeq and is a predicted model, not a curated record.
CAUUGACCAAUUGAAUCCACUUGUGUGAGUGUCAGGAUUGUUGGCUGACAGUCACGAGAUUCUGUGCAGUUGAGUUGGGUGCUUGUGCAGAUUCAGUGUAAUAUAGUAUAGAAUAAUAUAGCAUAAUAAAGUAAUUAAUUAGCCUUCCGAUAUCAAUGGAGUCCACCUGGUCAUUUCUCCCCUUGGUCGGGGUUGCCCUGAUUUACAGUACAAGGGGAGAGCAAGCUGCAGGAUAUUUCACUCUUUGCAUCACCCUCAGAGAUGAGUUAGGAAUUAACAAAAGGUCAAGCCCAUCUGAUAAGAGCUGGCUACUGAGGACAAGCAGCACUUACCACCUGAAGAAGGGCCAGCAAAGAGGUUCACUCCCAUGAUGCUGAAGAUGAGCCAGAAGAUGAGGCAGACCAGCAGAACAUUCAUGAUGGAGGGGAUGGCUCCCAGGAGGGCAUUGACAACAACCUGUGAUGAAAUGGGAGAGGAAAAAUAUGCUUCAGAAAAAGGAUGAGACCAGUAAGACAGGAACACAAGAAUGUCUGAGCAGCAAUGGAACAAAUUUCCACCUAGACCAGAUUUAAUUUCAACAGUACUUGGAUCAAUCACUCCAGGAAAGUCUAUAAGAAAUGCCCAAAUACAGAAGAGCACAACCAAGGGUCUCUUUAAAAAUUUAUUUUAUAGUUCCUAAGCUGAACUCAGGGUGAACAUGUGAACUUCAUAAAGACACAAUGAUGAGUCAAACCUGUUAUGUGCUCAUCAGUUCUGACAAGCUUUGCUUUGCAGUCUUACCCUCAUUCCCUCAAACCUUGACAGCGCUCUCAAGGGUCUCAGAGCUCGCAGAGUCCUGAGAGAUUUCAUGGGGCCAAAGGUGCUGCCAAAGAGGUUUAUCAGAGAGACCUGAGUGGGGAGACAAAGGAAAUGUAUUAACAACAUCCUGUCAUCCGUUUCCUUUAUUUCUGUUAAAAGUAAACCCCAACCAACAAACAAAACCAUGGUUUCUGUGCCAGGAGUACAACAUCCUGACACCGUUGCUACAGGGGUUAAGGUCGGAAAUCUAAAUCCAGGAAAUAAUCAGGGAUUCUGUGCUAAUGCUGUGUAGGAAGAGCAAGGGCAAAACUCACAUCUACAAUAAGGAAAUCCAGCCAGCACCAGGCAUUGGUGAAAUACUUCUUGAAGCCAUAAGCCACCCACUUCAGGAGCAUCUCCAGAACAAAGAUGAAAGUGAACAUUUUGUCGAGAAAUGCCAAUAUCGCUUGAAUUCUUUCUCUCUUGUGUAUAUGGAUAUCUUCAAAUGCCUGAAACCAUAAUAGAUAUAGAAAAAUAGCAAAACCAAGAAAUUAAUCUUGCACAUUUAAAGUCAAGCAACACUGAGACCCCUUCAUCAUUAAGUUUGUUUUAAUACAGAUCUGAACAGCAUUUGUUACUCAAAUCUAUGCCAGCUGAUGAAAGUGUAAUUCUCCCUGUGCCUUCUCUUUCUUUUUCUCUAUAUAAUACAGCCCUGUGGAUGCAUCCUUCCUGCACAAUGAAAUCCUGGCAGGAUAGGAUAAAAAUA